GGAAAAACGAGCUACACUCCCAACCCCAAUGUGAACGUUACCAAUCUGUUGCCUCGGCGGGAUUCUCUUGCCCCGGGCGCGUCGCAGCCCCGGAUCCCAUGGCGCCCGCCGGAGGACCAACUCCAAACUCUUUUUUUCUCUCCGUCGCGGCUCCCGUCGCGGCUCUGUUUUAUUUUUGCUCUGAGCCUUUCUCGGCGACCCUAGCGGGCGUCUCGAAAAUGAAUCAAAACUUUCAACAACGGAUCUCUUGGUUCUGGCAUCGAUGAAGAACGCAGCGAAAUGCGAUAAGUAAUGUGAAUUGCAGAAUUCAGUGAAUCAUCGAAUCUUUGAACGCACAUUGCGCCCGCCAGUAUUCUGGCGGGCAUGCCUGUCCGAGCGUCAUUUCAACCCUCGAACCCCUCCGGGGGGUCGGCGUUGGGGAUCGGCCCCUCACCGGGCCGCCCCCGAAAUACAGUGGCGGUCUCGCCGCAGCCUCUCCUGCGCAGUAGUUUGCACACUCGCACCGGGAGCGCGGCGCGGCCACAGCCGUAAAACACCCCAAACUUCUGAAAUGUUGACCUCGGAUCAGGUAGGAAUACCCGCUGAACUUAAGCAUAUCAAUAAAGCGGAGGACUCCGAGCAAAAAUAAAACAGAGCCGCGACGGGAGCCGCGACGGAGAGAAAAAAGAGUUUGGAGUUGGUCCUCCGCGCGCGCGCCCUGGGAUCUGCGGCUGCGACACGCCCCGGGCACGAGAAUCUCGCCCAGGCACAGAUUGGUUACGUUCACAUUGGGGUUUGGGGAGUUGUAAACUCCGGUAAUGAUCCCUCCGCAGGUUACCUUACGGGAGGGG
RNAcentral lists this ribosomal RNA (830 nucleotides) under Trichoderma longibrachiatum. RNAcentral's name for it is "eukaryotic LSU rRNA". The stretch from base 228 to 381 matches the Rfam family "5.8S ribosomal RNA". The record is from RNAcentral. Lineage: Eukaryota; Fungi; Ascomycota; Sordariomycetes; Hypocreales; Hypocreaceae.